Molecule: long non-coding RNA, 473 nt
Organism: Sebastes umbrosus (honeycomb rockfish)
Lineage: Eukaryota; Metazoa; Chordata; Actinopteri; Perciformes; Sebastidae
Exons: 2
Source: RefSeq, a predicted model, not a curated record
CUGUAAAGGAAGAGAAUCGAGCAAUGAUCCAUUUUAUCUUUUCAACUAAAGUGUUAAUUAAGAUGUUGACUUUCUCUUUGGCAUGAGUUGUAAAAAGUAAGAUAUGUUUAGUAUGUGAAUAGUGUCCGUAAUGUUGGCCUGUUACUGAGUACGAGCAGAGCAUCCUCUCAGUGGAGAAGAAAAUAGUGCAGGAUGGAGGAUUAGUCUUUUCAGUUAUUGUCUGCUCUCUGUCUUAUUGUUUCAUUUAUAUUAUUUUCACGUUAGAUCUUAUGUUAAGAUGCCUUAAAUCAUUUUAUGUGUAGUCAUUUAUUUUCAGUGUUAGAUUAUUAUUUUACUCUGUUUACUUUUGUACUAGAAUAUACUUCCUCAUGGAGGGUUUACUUUGCUUUCACUGCUUCGUAAGGUUUUGGACCAGCAGUAGAGCCGAUGUUGUGAAUGAAUAAAGUGUUCCCGGUCUCAACCACAAUCCAGAA